This 498-nucleotide ribosomal RNA is filed under the name uncultured bacterium. RNAcentral's name for it is "bacterial SSU rRNA". It matches the Rfam family "Bacterial small subunit ribosomal RNA", at positions 903 to 1397 of the family's 1533-position model. The record is from RNAcentral.
AAAUGAAUUGACGGGAGCCCGCACAAGCAGUGGAGUAUGUUGUUUAAUUCGAUGCAACGCGAAGAACCUUACCAGGUCUUGACAUCUGCGGAAGUCGGCGUAAUGGCUGAUGUGCCCUUCGGGGAGCCGCAAGACAGGUAGUGCAUGGUUGUCGUCAGCUCGUGUCGUGAGAUGUUGGGUUAAGUCCCGCAACGAGCGCAACCCUUGCGAAUAGUUGCCAGCCCCAAAUCGGGGAGGAACUCUAUUUGGACUGCCGUUGACAAAACGGAGGAAGGUGGGGAUGAUGUCAAAUCAUCAUGCUCUUUAUGAUCUGGGCUACAAACGUACUACAAUGGCGCGAACAGAGGGGAGCGAAGGCGCGAGCCGGAGCAAAUCCCAAAAACGCGCCCCAGUUCGGAUUGCAGGCUGCAACUCGCCUGCAUGAAGUUGGAAUUGCUAGUAAUCGCGGAUCAGCAUGCCGCGGUGAAUACGUUCCCGGGCUUUGUACACACCGCCCGU